RNAcentral lists this ribosomal RNA (152 nucleotides) under uncultured Nitrosomonas sp. RNAcentral describes it as "partial 16S ribosomal RNA". It matches the Rfam family "Bacterial small subunit ribosomal RNA", at positions 338 to 482 of the family's 1533-position model. Lineage: Bacteria; Pseudomonadati; Pseudomonadota; Betaproteobacteria; Nitrosomonadales; Nitrosomonadaceae. The record is from RNAcentral.
CCUACGGGAGGCAGCAGUGGGGAAUUUUGGACAAUGGGCGCAAGCCUGAUCCAGCAAUGCCGCGUGAGUGAAGAAGGCCUUCGGGUUGUAAAGCUCUUUCAGUCGAGAAGAAAAGAUUGUGACUAAUAAUCAUAGUUCAUGACGGUAUCGAC